This 511-nucleotide ribosomal RNA is filed under the name uncultured bacterium. RNAcentral describes it as "partial 16S ribosomal RNA". The record is from RNAcentral.
GGAGUUAGCCGGUGCUUCUUCUGUGAGUGAUGUCCUUCCUGCCGGCUAUUAACCCGCAGGCCUUCUUCCUCACUGAAAGUGCUUUACAACCCGAAGGCCUUCUUCACACACGCGGCAUGGCUGGAUCAGGGUUGCCCCCAUUGUCCAAUAUUCCCCACUGCUGCCUCCCGUAGGAGUCUGGGCCGUGUCUCAGUCCCAGUGUGGCUGAUCAUCCUCUCAGACCAGCUACGGAUCGUCGCCUUGGUGAGCCGUUACCUCACCAACCAGCUAAUCCGACAUAGGCUCAUCCGAUAGCGCGAGGCCCGAAGGUCCCCCGCUUUCCCCCGUAGGGCGUAUGCGGUAUUAGCCUGGGUUUCCCCCAGGUUAUCCCCCACUACCGGGCAGAUUCCUAUGCAUUACUCACCCGUCCGCCGCUCGCCACCAGGGAGCAAGCUCCCCGUGCUGCCGCUCGACUUGCAUGUGUUAGGCCUGCCGCCAGCGUUCAUCUGAGCCAGAAUACGAACCCGUACGA